This 497-nucleotide ribosomal RNA is filed under the name uncultured bacterium. Its description in RNAcentral is "partial 16S ribosomal RNA". It matches the Rfam family "Bacterial small subunit ribosomal RNA", at positions 28 to 507 of the family's 1533-position model. The record is from RNAcentral.
GAUGAACGCUGGCGGCAUGCCUAAUACAUGCAAGUCGAGCGAACGGAUAAGCCGCUUUCUCCUUUUCCGUUGGCGACGGGCGGGUAAUUACUACGUAGCUAACCUACCGUUAAGACUGGGAUACCUUCGGGAACCCGGAUCCAAUACCGGUUCAUAUUUCGAACGUCAUGGUUCUAUAGUGCAAGCUCUUUUUGCUAUCACUUAUAGAUGUACCCUCGCCGUAUUAGCUAGUUGGUACGGUAACGGCGUACCAAGGCGACGAUGCGUAGCAGACCUGAGAGGGUGAUCGGCCACACUGGAACUGAGACACGGUCCAGACUCCUACGGGAGGCAGCAGUAGGGAAUAUUGCGCAAUGGGCGAAAGCCUGACGGAGCAACGCCGCGUGAGUGAAGAAGGUCUUCGGAUCGUAAAGCUCUGUUAGUAGGGAAGAACAGAAGUAUAAGUAAAUGUGCACGUCUUGACGGUACCUAAUCAGAAAGCAACGGCUAACUACGUG